UCAUCAGGCCAGCGGUCAAGGCCUGGGCCAAAGACCCGCGACUUUUUUGCGCUACGUCUUGCCUCGCGCUUAUUCGUGACAAACUGAGUUACUGUACAGUUUCACGGAAGGUGAGAAUAAGGUACCGAAUACCGCUGACAAUUAUUUAUGCUCACCUUUUAUCGUCUCUGCAGUCGCGUUUUAACUCUGGACCUCGAGGGGAGCUUUUCGAUGAAUCAUUUGUUACCACAUGGCUGGACUCAUGACGGUGGGACUUGAUUGCUAAUUUCUGCAUCAGGUUUUUCCAGAUGCUUUGAUUUCAUCCAAAUCAGUGCGUUUAAUCGACAUCGUCUGGUUUCUUGCCGUAUUCGAGAAGGCGAUUUUUGUAAGAAAAGGCUCUUCGCAUCGUACGAGAAUAGGUUUGAUUUUAGACUUCAUUUGCCUGCCUCAUGCUGAUAAAAUAUGGUUUUCAUCCAUGUUUAUCUGCGCGCAAGAAUCUGUUGAUGAAGCUCCAUCAAUAAUGACAAUAAGGAUCGAGCGAGCUACGGAUUCCACGUAACAAUGAUCAGACC
RNAcentral lists this long non-coding RNA (551 nucleotides) under Neodiprion pinetum (white pine sawfly). Its description in RNAcentral is "uncharacterized LOC124215966". The record is from RNAcentral. Lineage: Eukaryota; Metazoa; Arthropoda; Insecta; Hymenoptera; Diprionidae.